AAUAAUAUAUAAGUGUUUUCAUUAGUGCAUAAUAACAGGAAACCAAGAUUCAUUGUGUUGUUGUUAGCUUAGAAUGAUCCAUUAAUCCAUCUAAAUAGGGAGCGGGUCGUCUUCAUGGAGCCCGCCAUGUUACCUGAAGGUCACGUAUGUUUUCUACACAGAGAGCGGAGGGGCAGUCAGGAGGUUUAAACUGCCACAUGACUCAGUGUGUCGUUGAAAAGAGCAAACGUAUGCAUCUAGCAAACUAGAUACAUUACAUCUCAAGCAAGAAACUAAAGGCUUUGUUUUCAUUUCCAUUAUAUACAAACUCCCGAUUAAAAGCAGGUGAGUAUAAAACAACCUGAUAAGGGAAACCAACACUGAAUAAAUUACAAACUAGUAAACACAAUAUCACAUCAAUAGAUUAAUAAAAUGGAUACAUACUUUACCCUGUAUUGAGCAUGUGGAAGACAGUUUAAAUGGUAGAUCAAUGAUUCAGUAAAUUACAUUACAUUUUAAAUGUUUUCUUUAGUCAAACAGUAAAACAAUGUUUGGGCUAGUACAGAUCUGCACACCAAAUAAUAACCUAUAAUACAACACUAACUCACUUUCACACAAUUCACUUCAUUUUGGGGAUUUAAACAUUUAAAAUAUGGCCUGUUCACUGGUUUACCAAAAUAUUUAAAAUAUAUUUUGACUACAAGACAAAAGAGCUGAUACUUCAGGCCAAGAAGGAACGAACAUGGGAAAGUAACACUGCGUUAGUCGUCGUGUGUCUUUGGCUCCUAACUUGUACGAUUAAAGGUUUACGCAUGCAGAACAUUGUGCUAAUAGUAAAGGAGUGCUAUUAGACAGUCAUCCACACCAGAUGGAAAGCCAUGUGAUUUCCCCUCAAAGCAUUUUGACCUUUCAUCCUUUAUGCUGAAAUGUGAUUCCACACUUUCGGCGAGGUUUGUUUGUUAAAUAGUUGAGUGGCCUUUAAUGUGAAUUUAAAGAACCACCAUAAAACCAGCUCACACUGGAAAUACAAAAGAAAAGUUGAAAUACUUGCAAGAAAUGCUCAGUGACUUUGUUCUCUAAAUGUAACAUUCAGGCUUAAUCAAAGAAAAGGGAAACUGGCCACCUACGUUUAAAAGCAUG
Molecule: long non-coding RNA, 1119 nt
Organism: Gasterosteus aculeatus (three-spined stickleback)
Lineage: Eukaryota; Metazoa; Chordata; Actinopteri; Perciformes; Gasterosteidae
Source: Ensembl